UACGUAGGGGCCGAGCGUUGUCCGGAUUCAUUGGGCGUAAAGAGCGUGUAGGCGGCCAGAUAGGUCCGUUGUGAAAACUGGAGGCUUAACCUCCAGCUGUCGAUGGAAACCAUCUGGCUAGAGUCCGGAAGAGGAGAGUGGAAUUCCUGGUGUAGCGGUGAAAUGCGCAGAUAUCAGGAAGAACACCCGUGGCGAAGGCGGCUCUCUGGGACGGUACUGACGCUGAGACGCGAAAGCGUGGGGAGCGAACAGG
RNAcentral lists this ribosomal RNA (253 nucleotides) under uncultured bacterium. RNAcentral's name for it is "partial 16S ribosomal RNA". It matches the Rfam family "Bacterial small subunit ribosomal RNA", at positions 524 to 776 of the family's 1533-position model. The record is from RNAcentral.